AGCGAACGCUGGCGGCAGGCUUAACACAUGCAAGUCGAACGGGCGUAGCAAUACGUCAGUGGCAGACGGGUGAGUAACGCGUGGGAACGUACCUUUUGGUUCGGAACAACCCAGGGAAACUUGGGCUAAUACCGGAUAAGCCCUUACGGGGAAAGAUUUAUCGCCGAAAGAUCGGCCCGCGUCUGAUUAGCUAGUUGGUGAGGUAACGGCUCACCAAGGCAACGAUCAGUAGCUGGUCUGAGAGGAUGAUCAGCCACAUUGGGACUGAGACACGGCCCAAACUCCUACGGGAGGCAGCAGUGGGGAAUAUUGGACAAUGGGCGCAAGCCUGAUCCAGCCAUGCCGCGUGAGUGAUGAAGGCCCUAGGGUUGUAAAGCUCUUUUGUGCGGGAAGAUAAUGACAGUACCGC
This 409-nucleotide ribosomal RNA is filed under the name uncultured bacterium. Its description in RNAcentral is "bacterial SSU rRNA". It matches the Rfam family "Bacterial small subunit ribosomal RNA", at positions 29 to 481 of the family's 1533-position model. The record is from RNAcentral.